UCCUAGGAGUAAUGGUUUAAUAGAAA
RNAcentral lists this non-coding RNA (26 nucleotides) under Homo sapiens (human). Lineage: Eukaryota; Metazoa; Chordata; Mammalia; Primates; Hominidae. The record is from RNAcentral.